Molecule: unclassified non-coding RNA, 279 nt
Filed under: plant metagenome
Description: partial contains small subunit ribosomal RNA, internal transcribed spacer 1, and 5.8S ribosomal RNA
Source: RNAcentral
UUUCCGUAGGUGAACCUGCGGAAGGAUCAUUAAUGUAUAACCGAUGUUCAAGGCCCGUUGAUGACCCUACAUGUCGUGCACGCGCGCAUGCUCUCACACCCAUCCACCUCCCCCCUAUCUGCACCACCUCGCGUCUCCUCCUUUGGCUAGAUCGGCGGGGGGCUUACGUUUUCUCGCCAGCUUAAUAUGCUGUAUAGCAUGUAUUUUUAGAUAUCUUGAUCACGCAAUCAAUACAACUUUCAACACGGGAAAUCUUGCCUCUCGCAUCGAUGACGAACG